AAUGGACGAGAGUCUGAACCAGCCAUGUAGCGUGAAGGAUGACUGCCCUAUGGGUUGUAAACUUCUUUUAUAAGGGAAUAAAGUGAGGGACGUGUCCCUUUUUGUAUGUACCUUAUGAAUAAGGAUCGGCUAACUCCGUGCCAGCAGCCGCGGUAAUACGGAGGAUCCAAGCGUUAUCCGGAUUUAUUGGGUUUAAAGGGAGCGUAGGUUGACGUAUAAGUCAGCUGUGAAAGUUUACGGCUCAACCGUGAAAUUGCAGUUGAUACUGUAUGUCUUGAGUAUACAAGAGGUGGGCGGAAUUCGUGGUGUAGCGGUGAAAUGCUUAGAUAUCACGAAGAACUCCAAUUGCGAAGGCAGCUUACUAAGCUACAACUGACACUGAAGCACGAAAGCGUGGGGAUCAAA
RNAcentral lists this ribosomal RNA (405 nucleotides) under uncultured bacterium. RNAcentral describes it as "bacterial SSU rRNA". It matches the Rfam family "Bacterial small subunit ribosomal RNA", at positions 370 to 772 of the family's 1533-position model. The record is from RNAcentral.